ACGGGAGGCAGCAGUGGGGAAUCUUCCGCAAUGGGCGACAGCCUGACGGAGCAACGCCGCGUGAGUGAAGAAGGUCUUCGGAUCGUAAAGCUCUGUUGAGAGGGACGAGAGAUUACUUCAGGAAAUGGGAGUAAGAGGACGGUACCUUUCGAGGAAGCCACGGCUAACUACGUGCCAGCAGCCGCGGUAAUACGUAGGUGGCGAGCGUUGUCCGGAAUUAUUGGGCGUAAAGGGAGCGCAGGUGGGACUUCAAGGCAGUCGUAAAAGUGCGGGGCUCAACCCCGUGAUGGGAUUGAAACUGGAGUUCUUGAGGGCAGGAGAGGAAAGCGGAAUUCCUAGUGUAGCGGUGAAAUGCGUAGAUAUUAGGGGGAACACCAGUGGCGAAGGCGGCUUUCUGGACUGUAACUGACACUGAGGCUCGAAAGCGUGGGGAGCGAACAGGAUUAGAUACCCUGGUA
Molecule: ribosomal RNA, 458 nt
Filed under: uncultured Anaerovibrio sp.
Lineage: Bacteria; Bacillati; Bacillota; Negativicutes; Selenomonadales; Selenomonadaceae
Description: bacterial SSU rRNA
Rfam family: Bacterial small subunit ribosomal RNA
Source: RNAcentral